Molecule: ribosomal RNA, 414 nt
Filed under: uncultured bacterium
Lineage: Bacteria
Description: bacterial SSU rRNA
Rfam family: Bacterial small subunit ribosomal RNA
Source: RNAcentral
UCGAGGAUCUUCGGCAAUGGGCGCAAGCCUGACCGAGCGACGCCGCGUGCGCGAAGAAGGCCUUCGGGUUGUAAAGCGCUGUCGGGGGGGAGGAAAGCCCGCAAGGGCCUGACCUAUCCCCGGAGGAAGCACGGGCUAAGUUCGUGCCAGCAGCCGCGGUAAGACGAACCGUGCGAACGUUGUUCGGAUUCACUGGGCUUAAAGGGCGCGUAGGCGGGCGAGCAGGUCCGCGGUGAAAGCCCCCGGCUCAACCGGGGGAGUGCCGCGGAUACCGCUCGCCUCGAGCGGUGCAGGGGCACGCGGAACUUCCGGUGGAGCGGUGAAAUGCGUAGAGAUCGGAAGGAACGCCGGUGGCGAAAGCGGCGUGCUGGGCACCUCCUGACGCUGAGGCGCGAAAGCCAGGGGAGCGAACGG